Molecule: ribosomal RNA, 343 nt
Filed under: uncultured bacterium
Lineage: Bacteria
Description: bacterial SSU rRNA
Rfam family: Bacterial small subunit ribosomal RNA
Source: RNAcentral
CCCUUCGGGGUACUCGAGCGGCGAACGGGUGAGUAACACGUGAGUAACCUGCCCUAGGCUUUGGGAUAACCCUCGGAAACGGGGGCUAAUACCGGAUAUUCAUGUCUGACGGCGUCGUUGGGUGUGGAAAGUUUUUCGGCUUGGGAUGGGCUCGCGGCCUAUCAGCUUGUUGGUGGGGUGAUGGCCUACCAAGGCGACGACGGGUAGCCGGCCUGAGAGGGCGACCGGCCACACUGGGACUGAGACACGGCCCAGACUCCUACGGGAGGCAGCAGUGGGGAAUAUUGCACAAUGGGCGGAAGCCUGAUGCAGCGACGCCGCGUGAGGGAUGAAGGCCUUCGGG